This 1567-nucleotide long non-coding RNA is filed under the name Lynx pardinus (Iberian lynx). The record is from RNAcentral. Lineage: Eukaryota; Metazoa; Chordata; Mammalia; Carnivora; Felidae.
GGUAGUCACUGUAUUUUAUUGGAAAACAUUGAUAUAUAUUUUUCUUCACAGCUUGAACUGAACACAAUAUUGCCCGGUUUAAAAAAAAAAAAACAAAAAACAAAACAAACAAACCAAAACCUAAACCAAAACACUCCGAAAAUGUCCACAGCCUCACGCCUACCUGCCCUUAACCCUCAGCUCUUGGCUGGGUCUCCCACUACGCCCCGUCCCUCCCCUCCCCUCCCCAGAGGCUGAGAGCCAGAGGGUGGGUGAGGAGAUUCUCAAAGCUGGGCAGGUCCCAAGAAAAGCCACUUGAACGACCUGGGGGCGGGGUGUGUGUGUGUGUGGGGGGGGGGAGGGGGGGGCAAGAUGAACUGAACAGAAAAAGGAAAAGAAGAAUCCAGACGACCGAACUGCCCACAUUGACUUACUUGUCCCAGAGGCGAAAAUCAGAAGCAAGGUCACGGAUCAUGCUCUCCGCUGGGGGAGUGUGGGGGCAGGCAGGCGGGCGAAGGGAGAGAGGGCACAGAGACAGCACGGAUGUUAAGGAGCCAACCAAGUCACCACGGAGAAGCGGGAGGGGCCGGCUGGCCAGUCCUCCGGGCAGCUAGCCGACAACACCGUUUUAUUGCAGGUAUGUUCUCUCGAGAGCGUGGUGGGGCUCGCCUUCCCUCUCCCCACCCUUCGGCUAGCCCGGCAGGGUCUUUGACAGAAUUAGUUUUAAGGGGCAUAAAGAAAAAAAGAAAGAAAGAAAAAAGAAAACCAAACCCAAAGGAUAACCUGUACAUUACAAAGCAACAUCCCCACAUCCGUUCCAGCGAGGGGACCUCGGUGCGGGCGGGCGGGCGCCUCAUGGCGGAGCGGCAUGGGACGUUAGCACCAGGUAUUUACAGAACAGCCGGAGAUCGCUUUCGAAACACGGGUGUGGACAACCUGCAGAGCGGCCCGGCCGAGCGAGCGGCCCCCCCCAGCCCAACCUCAGGAAGUCGAUCGGAUGGUUUCAGAACAGCGGCCGGUGGGAUCUGAGUGUGGUCCGCUCUGUCCGUCCCCUUCGGCGAGUCGGCCCCCUCGACUGGUAAAAGAACGCCGGCUUCCAGGACUCCCUUGCCCCUUGACCCCCUCCUGGGCCACAGCCAGUCAAUACCACAACUCCUCAACUCCCCCCAGGUCCUUCUGGAACGCCUCUCUCGGCACCCCUGCCCCAAAAGGCUGCCGGGAUGUGCACACGGAAUCACGGGGCUGGUUGCAUGCAACAGUAAAAGGCAUGCUCUUCUGUCCGGGUGAGGCCUCGUCCCCUCCCCAGCAGGUCCCGGGACGGGGCUGGCAGCCACCCGGCACCCAAAAUAAGAUGACACACGAAAGUAAACAAACCAAAACGGAGGAGAGCCACCCGGGCUGGAGGAGGAGGGCAGAGGCUCCCCUCAGGGGAAUGGGGCUUCGUCUUAUGAACGCAUCAGGCCUCGGAAGAUGUGAACGGAAGGGGGGAGGGAGAAAGGAAGGGACGGUGGGCACGGGAGGGAGGAGGCUCAAGGAGGGAGAAAGAGCAAUCAUGCAGCUUGGGACAAAUCUUUUGUUGCUUUAUCAG